RNAcentral lists this ribosomal RNA (477 nucleotides) under uncultured bacterium. Its description in RNAcentral is "partial 16S ribosomal RNA". It matches the Rfam family "Bacterial small subunit ribosomal RNA", at positions 28 to 523 of the family's 1533-position model. The record is from RNAcentral.
GAUGAACGCUGGCGGCGUGCUUAACACAUGCAAGUCGAACGGAAAGGCCCCAGCUUGCUGGGGUACUCGAGUGGCGAACGGGUGAGUAACACGUGGGUGAUCUGCCCUGCACUUUGGGAUAAGCUUGGGGAACUGGGUCUAAUACCGAAUAUGACCACUUCUUGGAUGUUGUGGUGGAAAGCUUUUGCGGUGUGGGAUGAGCCUGCGGCCUAUCAGCUUGUUGGUGGGGUAAUGGCCUACCAAGGCGGCGACGGGUAUCCGGCCUGAGAGGGUGUACGGAAACAUUGGGACUGAGAGACGGCCCAGACUCCUACGGGAGGCAGCAGUGGGGAACAUUGCACAAUGGGCGCAAGCCUGAAGCAGCGACGCCGCGUGAACGAUGAAGUCUUUCGGGAUGUAAAGUUCUGUCAGCAGGGACAAUGAUGAUGGUACCUGCAGAGGAAGGACCGGCAAACUAUGUGCCAGCAGCCGCGGUAG